UAGGGAAUAUUAGUAAUGGGCGAAAGCCUGAACUAGCAACGCCACGUGUGCGAAGAAGGCCUUCGGGUUGUAAAGCACUUUUUGAGAGGAUGAGGAAGGACGGUACUCUCAGAAUAAGUCUCGUCUAACUACGUGCCAGCAGCCGCGGUAACACGUAGGAGGCGAACGUUAUCCGGAUUUACUGGGCGUAAAGCGCGUGUAGGUGGUUUGGUAAGUAGGGCGUGAAAGCUCCUGGCUCAACUGGGAGAGGCCGUUCUAAACUGCCGAACUAGAGGAUGGUAGAGGGAGGUGGAAUUCCGGGUGUAGCGGUGGAAUGCGCGGAUAUCCGGAGGAACACCAGUGGCGAAAGCGGCCUCCUGGACCACUCCUGACACUCAGACGCGAAAGCUAGGGUAGCAAACGG
This 403-nucleotide ribosomal RNA is filed under the name uncultured bacterium. RNAcentral's name for it is "bacterial SSU rRNA". It matches the Rfam family "Bacterial small subunit ribosomal RNA", at positions 355 to 775 of the family's 1533-position model. The record is from RNAcentral.